This 404-nucleotide ribosomal RNA is filed under the name uncultured Peptostreptococcus sp. Its description in RNAcentral is "bacterial SSU rRNA". It matches the Rfam family "Bacterial small subunit ribosomal RNA", at positions 354 to 776 of the family's 1533-position model. Lineage: Bacteria; Bacillati; Bacillota; Clostridia; Peptostreptococcales; Peptostreptococcaceae. The record is from RNAcentral.
GUGGGGAAUAUUGCACAAUGGGCGAAAGCCUGAUGCAGCAACGCCGCGUGAACGAUGAAGGUCUUCGGAUCGUAAAGUUCUGUUGCAGGGGAAGAUAAUGACGGUACCCUGUGAGGAAGCCCCGGCUAACUACGUGCCAGCAGCCGCGGUAAUACGUAGGGGGCUAGCGUUAUCCGGAUUUACUGGGCGUAAAGGGUGCGUAGGUGGUCCUUCAAGUCGGUGGUUAAAGGCUACGGCUCAACCGUAGUAAGCCGCCGAAACUGGAGGACUUGAGUGCAGGAGAGGAAAGUGGAAUUCCCAGUGUAGCGGUGAAAUGCGUAGAUAUUGGGAGGAACACCAGUAGCGAAGGCGGCUUUCUGGACUGCAACUGACACUGAGGCACGAAAGCGUGGGUAGCAAACAGG